GGACUACAAGGGUUUCUAAUCCUGUUUGCUACCCACGCUUUCGUGCCUCAGCGUCAGUCAUGGUCCAGAUAGCCGUCUACACCGCAGGUGUUCCUCCUGAUAUCUACGCAUUUCACCGCUACACCAGGAAUUCCACUAUCCUCUCCCACACUCUAGCUAGCCAGUUUUCGGCGCACCCUCCCAGUUAAGCCGGGAGAUUUCACACCAAACUUAGCCAACCGCCUACGCACUCUUUACGCCCAGUAAUUCCGAACAACGCUUGCUGCCUACGUAUUACCGCGGCGGCUGGCAC
This 292-nucleotide ribosomal RNA is filed under the name uncultured Acidobacteriota bacterium. RNAcentral describes it as "uncultured Acidobacteria bacterium partial 16S ribosomal RNA". Lineage: Bacteria; Pseudomonadati; Acidobacteriota. The record is from RNAcentral.